This 81-nucleotide transfer RNA is filed under the name bacterium. RNAcentral's name for it is "tRNA-Leu". It matches the Rfam family "tRNA". Rfam says of the family: Transfer RNA (tRNA) molecules are approximately 80 nucleotides in length. Their secondary structure includes four short double-helical elements and three loops (D, anti-codon, and T loops). The record is from RNAcentral.
GGGGGCGUGGCGAAAUGGCAUACGCAAGCGACUUAAAAUCGCUCGCCGCAAGGCAUGCGGGUUCAAGUCCCGCCGCCCCCA